This 272-nucleotide ribosomal RNA is filed under the name uncultured Staphylococcus sp. Its description in RNAcentral is "partial 16S ribosomal RNA". It matches the Rfam family "Bacterial small subunit ribosomal RNA", at positions 89 to 354 of the family's 1533-position model. Lineage: Bacteria; Bacillati; Bacillota; Bacilli; Caryophanales; Staphylococcaceae. The record is from RNAcentral.
ACGUUAGCGGCGGACGGGUGAGUAACACGUGGGUAACCUACCUAUAAGACUGGGAUAACUUCGGGAAACCGGAGCUAAUACCGGAUAAUAUUCGAACCGCAUGGUUCGAUAGUGAAAGAUGGUUUUGCUAUCACUUAUAGAUGGACCUGCGCCGUAUUAGCUAGUUGGUAAGGUAACGGCUUACCAAGGCGACGAUACGUAGCCGACCUGAGAGGGUGAUCGGCCACACUGGAACUGAGACACGGUCCAGACUCCUACGGGAGGCAGCAGAC